UUAAAGGUGAUACCUGCCCAGUGAUUAAUCAAAUUUUAAUUUUAUUAAACGGAUGCGGUAACUCUGACUGUAAUAAAGUAGCAUAAUAAAUUGUCAUUUAAUUGAUGGAGAGUAUGAAUGGUAAAACGAGCUUUUCACUGUCUUAAAUAAAAUUUUUGAAAUUAAAAUAAUAGUGAAGAUUCUAUUUUAAAUCGUUAGACGAAAAGACCCUAUAGAGCUUUACUAUACUUAUUGGUAGUUUAGUUGGGGCGACUAAUUUUUAUAUAUAACAAAAUUAAGCAAAAUUAAUAAUAAUUUAUUGUAUAAUUUAUUUAUUUAACAAUUAUUAACAUAGGCUAUAAUGACCCGUUAUUUUAAUUUAAUAUAAUAACGAUUAAUUGAUAAAAGCUACCUUAGGGAUAACAGGAUAAUUUUAUUUUAGAGUUCUUAUCAAUUAUAAAGUUUGUCACCUCUAUGUUGAAUUAAGAUAUCCAAAUAAUGUAGAAGUUAUUAAGGGUAGGUCUGUUCG
RNAcentral lists this ribosomal RNA (508 nucleotides) under Corymorpha anthoformis. Its description in RNAcentral is "partial 16S ribosomal RNA". It matches the Rfam family "Bacterial large subunit ribosomal RNA", at positions 1846 to 2583 of the family's 2925-position model. Lineage: Eukaryota; Metazoa; Cnidaria; Hydrozoa; Anthoathecata; Corymorphidae. The record is from RNAcentral.